UUUGAAGUGAACCCAUCCCCUGUGGAGCUUGGCUCUUACUUUCAACAAAGUAGCUAAUUAGUUCAAUUAGUUCAAAGAGUCGAAUGAAGGUAGAAAACUACUGAUCUAAAGUCUAGUAUAUUGGAGAAUUGCCUGUAUCAGGAUCAGAGCAGAGCCCUCAUAGUAAGUCGAGAAAGUCAUCCCGAGUUUCCCUUAUAUUAAGUCGGAGAGAGAUUAGCUAGUAGCCAGAGGAGAGGUAUUCUAGUUGCCACCAGCAAUCGGGUAAGAAAGUGGAGUUAUCGUAUCAGACGGGAAGGAAAGUGGAGUUUUAUCGUAUUAGAAGCCCCUUUAAGUAGUAGUCCAGGGUAGGUUCUUGUUGGCGAAAGUGCCCUGUAAAGUAUAGAAUUGCCAGUGACUCGGGUGGGGCUUGUCUCAUUCAGUAGGGCAUAGUGGUCUGGUCUAGUGAAAUCCGUAUUUGUUGACAGAGGAGAGGUUUAGUUGACAGAGAAUCAUUAAGCUAGUAGCCAGCUGCCAGUGGAAUUCUUUGCCAGUAGUUUAGAGAGCUAGUUUCUUUCUUUGGUUUCAUAGCCACUAGUAAGUUAGUACGUAGUUACUUGGCCGAGUGUCUUGGCGCGCCGUUGCUUGGCCAGUUGUGAUUUCAUUCCCAUCCCAGUGGUUACUCGAUUCCCAGUUGAGAGUUAUCGUCUUGUGUUUAUUGGUUUCAGCCUUAGACUCCUUUCCGGUAUUCCUACUUUUGAGCUUCAUCCCUUAUAUCUAGUUGUUGUCGUUGUGGUGGGCACAGUUUCUCAUCCUUAGAAGCAGCAGCGAUAGCCUUUCUUUGCUUUCAAUGUGUUAGAGCUAUGUCCCUUACCCUUACCUUAUAGCUCGAUUCCUUAUUCGUAGUUCUAUUAUCAUGGGCGGUAGUUCACUCCCGAUACCCUUAGUUCCAAUCCGAUACUCACUACUUCAUUUAGUUCCUUUGAUCAGUGGUUCAAUUGCUAUUGUUAUUGAUUGGAUUCUUAUAGUGAAGUAUAGUUCGUUCUUGCACCUAGUGGUGUGUGAGUUUGCAAGUAUGUAAAGGAAUACUCAAACUCGCAUAUAGGCAUUGAGUUCGGUAGUUUCAGUUUAAGAGCUAUUGGAUAAAGGCUGGAAGCAAGUCAAGUCAGAGUAGCGGGGCAGUAGGGGAAGCCCGGUUUCCAAUACAAUAUAAGUAUGUUUCAUUUACCAGUAAAGUAAGGUUCGAGACCAUUAGGUGAAUUUGGAGUUUUGAGGAUAAGUCUUAGAGUAGUAGCGGCUCAAGUCUUAUUGGUGGAGUGUUUUGAUUCACUGUUUCGAGGUUGGUUAUGAGAACACCAGCGCAAGUAUGUUUGUCAGCUGCUCCAUGCUUAUAUUAUAGAAUUCUUAUUCGCCCCAACGGGGUAUCAGCCUUGCCAGUAAUAGCCCGAUCCCUAGUUAUGAGUUCGAAUCAGUUUGCCGGUAGUUUCAUUCCUUAAUGCAUUUAGGAAAGUCCUAUUGUCUUCGGUGUCUCAAUCCAAUAGUCAGUGGCUCAAGCCUGUUUGCCACCAGUCCCAUUCCCUUUAGUAGUUAGUGUAGGCUUGAACAAAGAUAAGUCCUUUUCCCAGUGAGUAGGGAAAGUCUCCGUUUUAGGUGUCAGCCUUAUUUCUGUGUUGUUAGUAUAGAAGUCUAAGUAGCCCAUUCUUAUUGUUAGAGGAAUCAGGCUUAUAGACAGAGGUAUAUCUGUUGGAUAGCAAAGAUGUCAGGAACAACUAACAGAAUAUAAGUUAGGUGAUGUGGAAUCAACCCAGGGAGAGGUGGAGUGAAGCGGAGAUAGUCAGAAUUAGAUCGAGUAACUACAGAACCGAAGUAAGGAGAGGAAGGAUGAAUCCACUAAUACGGAAUGCAGUAAGUAAGUCCCGUUAGGCGGUGUUCGAUUCAAGGUUUCACUCUUGUCAUUACCAGUGGAAUGUCCCUAUUGUAAGUGAAAGUAUGAUUGUGGUAUCGGCUAAAGUAUUGCUAGCAGCGGUGUAAUACCCAGCUUUAUUAGUUUGAUUCUAUGAUUGAUUAGUGAAAAUCUAUGUAUUCCCAGUGCAAUUCCGAGUUCCUACUUAGAUGUACCUACUAAAGAAAGAGUUGGUUCCCUAUUGAUAGUUAAGGUCUUCAAAGCACUUGUUCCAUUCUAUAUUAUAAGGCCGGUAUUCCCUAGUCGAAUAUGAGAAGCACUAGUUCCAGAUUGGGGGCAUGGAAAGAAAGAACCAAAGUAGGUAACUUCAGAGUGAAGCCAAGGAUAGUAAGAGUAGGUAACUUCAGAGUGAAAGCCAAGGAUAGUCAGGCUAAUAUUCUAGUGAGUAGCCGCUUGGUGAGUCAAAAGGGAAAUAUAGAGUUAAGACUUGGAGUGGAGGCCUAAAGCCCAUAAGCAAGGAUUUUCUUCCUUCAGUAGUGUCAGACCUCUAUUGAGUAGUAGAAUAACGGACCUGGAAAUACAGAUUUGAGGGUAGUAGCGAAAGCCGUGUUAUCCGUGGCCCCGGUUGCUUGUUUCGAUCUUGUUAGCAGUGAUUUCAUUCUCGAUUUACUACAAUAAAGAGAUUAGGUCUCAACAAAGAGAUUUGUGUCAAAUGCGUAAGGAGAUUAGUUUCAAAUGAACUCUAACAUAACAGAUUUAGUGUUGAUUGAUGGGAAAUCUACUAUGGAAUGCCCUGAGUCGAGCUUAUUAUUCAUUUCAAGCCUAUCAAACAAAACAGGAUAGUAAGAAUAAGAUCAAGCAAUAUCCGUUUUAGAGCUAGUGGACAGAGGCUAGUAUAAAGCCCCCAAAGGGUCGGCUUAUAGUAAGUCAAACAAAGACCCAGAGCAGUAGAUAAAGAAGGAGUGGAGGGCUAAGAAGGUAUUCCAAGUUGCGGGGUAAGCCCGAGUUCUAGUAUAAGUAUGAGAAGCGCCGGUUCCGCUCUUGGAGGCAGUAGUGAAAGCCUCGUUUUUUAGGUAGGGUCAUUCCUGUCAGCACCAGUUCUAUUCUUGUAGUUCCUUGACUUACUUGUUUCAUUCUAUUCCUUGGAUGUGCUGUAUAUCAGACCCUUAUUCUUUGACUACUUAGUGUAAUGCGCUCUUGCAGUAUAAACGCGAAAGUGAUACUUCGACUAAGGGGUGUGGGAACGAGAUAGAGGAGUGUCUGUUUUAGAGACAUUAGUGGCAGGCUAAUAGUCAAGGUAGUUAGGUUUGGUUUGGAGUUAGUGGUAAUAGAGUGAAAUAGGUUUACUACAGAUUGGAGUUAGGUCUGUGAAGUUUGAACCUCCCCCAUGGGCAUUUAGUUAAUAAAUAUAGGCAUGUGAAGGGGCAAGUAUAAUAAUUUAGGUAAGCUGUAUAGGUUUAGGCAAGGCAGGGCUAGUACGGAUAUAAGUUUUCAACCAAAGAGAGUGAGCCCUAUAGCCAGGACAGUAAUAGUCAAAUAGGAACAUAAGAUUUUAUGUAAUAAGGUAGGCUUGGCUUGGUGUUGCGGGGGCAGUAAACAGAUAUGAGAUCAGGAGCCGUGGACCCAAACAAACAAGCAAGGGUCGAGGUUCUUAGUUUCAGAGUUCAAGUUAGCAGCGGUAGUGUUGGGAUUUUCUUUGGAAUUCAUAGUGGUGGUGGAGGUAUAUAAGAUUGGAUUCCAGCAAGAGCAGGCGCUAGGGCAGUGAAGCCGGACUAAACUAUGAGAGGGCUUUACUAAACUCAAUCUAAGAUCUGGAUCAGCAGUUAACUCAUCAUGGUGAGUGGUUGCUUUCUGAUCGGCAGUAGUAGGGUUCUCUCCAGUACCAGCGGAAUUCUUUGCAUCAUGCUGGAUUAUUAUAUUAUAUCUAGUAGCUCCAUUCUGAUAAUACCGAGUGAGUUUCUAUUUCCUAAUGUAAGAUACAUAUUCUUCUUGUGGCUUAGUGCUCUUAGACCUAAAAUACAGAAUUAAGGAGAAGCUAUGGAUAGCGAUAAGUCAACUCUCUUCUUAAAGUCGGGAGUGCUAGGUUGGCGAGUGGAAUUCCUCCUUUUUGGUUUCUUUCUUUGAAGCGAGGUAUCUUCACCGGGUAGGUUGACGAGAGGGAGGUCUAUUCUGACUUAAGAGUUUGGAGCACUAGGUAGGCGAGAAAUAGCACUACAGGUUGGUUCAGAGCACCACCACCCACUUCCCUGGCUUGUCGGCUUGAAGAUCUUUCCCUGUGUGAACCUGUUUACUAGACACCAGUGUACUAGAGUUAUUCACAAGUCCUGUGUUCGUGAACUCCAUUAAUAUAUAUUAAUGGAUAUUAAUUAAGUUCUUAGCUUUAGUUGCUUGUCGUCUUGGCCCUUAUUCCCAGUUUGGAGUGAAAUUCAGAACGGAGCUUCUUUCACUGUGAACUAUCCCCUUCCCUGAUACCGAGUAAACAAAGAAUUCAUCUAUUUCUAUUUCCACUCCGGGGUCAACAGAACAGGUUGUUGCUUGUCUGCUUGGCGGGUUCUACUUAUACUAGGGGGCUUCUGAAGCACUAACAGAGUUUAGUUCAAAGAGCAAGUCCUGUGUCCCCAGGCGGUUAUAAUGUAUUUAUGACUUUCUAUGUGUUUUGUGGAAGCCUGUUAGAUCAGUGGAGCAAGAUCAGAGGAAAGAUCCGCCCUUACAUAUCCAAUUGUGUAUAUAGUAGGAGUGAAGAAGCACAUAGUCGGAGUGAAGAAAUAGAGGCAAGAUCCGCCCUUACAUAUAGUAUAGUAGGAGUUAAGAAGCCAAGCAAAGGUGAGGUCGGCACCAUGUAUUGAUGUGAAAGCCCUGCAAUGCCCUCGCCAUAUACAUAUAGCAAUUGUGUCACUCCUUAACUAGGGUAGGCGGCUUGUGUUUCACUUACAUCAAUUGACUAGCUAACCUUUAGCGCUUUAGCUCGUCGAUUAGUAUUCUUUUCUAGUAUUCUUUUAGUUGUUUGUCUGAUAGCUCAGCAGAUAUAGUAGUUACGGUGUUCUUCUUUAGUUUAUAGGAACUCGUACUUGUUUCAUUCCGCUCUAUAUAAGUAAUAUGUAUUCCGUUUUCCACCUUCCAUAGUAGUUGCAUUCUGUUUAUCUAUUUGCUAUUGGAGGUCAGUUAUUCUUAUUCGAGGGAUAGUUUACAGUGAAAGAAGAUAAGAAUUCAUAAUUGUUGACAGAGCCAGAGAGGGAUGAGCCGGGAGUUCUUGUUUGAAGUAAGAGCCAAGCGUAACAGGGGGUGGGUGAACUACUAAGAUCAGAAUUGCACUCAGGAGUGAAAGAGCCAAGCUAAAGUACUAGAGCCAGAAAUCAGAAUGGAAUGGAAUGAGUUUACUUAGGUAGAGGAUAGAGGGGAAGUUGCAAGUUUAGUUUAGAGUAGCUAGUCCUGUAGUUGUAGAGUUGAAUACCGAGCCCUUCAUUAGUUGUUUCAUCCCUAGUUUCAUCCUUUGUUGGCUACGAGAGAGGAGUGGAGUUGGGGUCGAUAACACCGGAGCGGAGGUUGGUCACGUCAUUGAAUUGCCUGGCCUUCUACACAAAGGUACGAGACGAGAUUGAAUCACUUACCGUUGAAGAAGCACAGAGGCAUAAUAGGUCUAUAUACAAGAAAGAAUAUGGAACAGGUGAGGAAGCUGUGGAAGUGAAAGUGAAGUCUAGUAUAGUGUUACUUGUGUUAAGCAAUGAGUCAAUUAAGCAAAAUGAGCAAAACCUAAUUGGAUCUUUCGAGUCCAGUCCUUGCACUGCUACCACCUUCUGAUCCCUCUGUGGGCAUUCUCUUAGGCUUCUUCCCCUGCUGAUGCUUGAGACUAAGAUUCCCUAAAUGCUUCUAUACUAAACAAAACUUGCAUGAAAUAAGUGUAUGGCGCCCGAGAGACUUUAUCUUAUCUUAGGAGAUGAUAUCUUCUUAAUACGACUUUCCUAGCACCGACACAAUCACCUCUAUCUAUGACAACACUUGCACCCUCCACUCAAUUACUCGGUUUGUUUAAAGCAAAGGUCUCCGUUAAGGGCCAUUCGAGCAAGGAUCUCUGUGUUGGAUAGUUCAAGUUCUGAAUAAACAUCUUCCAGCGAGUAGGAGCGGGAUGACAUAAACGCUCAAACAAGCAACUCUGGGGAUGUAGUUCAUUCUUUCCUCGUAUUUCACUAAGCUAUUUACCGCUGAACACAUCUAUUGAGCAAGUCCUGUGUUCGGCUUCUCAUACUUUAGAUCAUACCCAGGAAGCCAGCGACUACCUAUAAGUAGUAAUCCGGGAACUAAGCCCAUAUCCCUUGACUCUAUCCUUGCUCUACUAUAUCCCAUGCCGAAACUCCUUAACUAACAAUACUUCAACCAUUAGUCUGUCCCGCCCCCUUCCAUUAGGCGCUUACUUUACUGACUUUGAUUCUGUAACUUGCUACUAUUAGAAUUGGACUAGUGGCCUGGAUACUGUCUUGCGCCAUUGGUUGCCGAGUUUUCUUGUUCAAUUACUUAUUAAUAAGACCAGAUCGAUGAUUAGAGACUAAAAGCCGGUAGUGAUAGGUUUAGACAAGAGAAUGUAAAUACAGCUAAUGAAAGGCGGACUAAUAGACAGGAAUAGAAGGCCAUUACUACUGACGGUAAAUACAGAUUUGAUAUCAGUAGCCUAAGAGCUACGUAGGGGACUCCAGUCUAUAAGCAAGGAUACACAGAGCAGUACCGGAGAAUGAUAGCAAAGGAUAUAUACUUAAAGAAGGCAGGCAAGGGAAAGCUUGGAAGCACUAGUUCCAUUCGUAGUUUAGAGUUCGAUUCCCUAUUUAUAUAUUGAUUCUUUUAUUGACUAGUUGAGUUCUUAUCACCAAUAAGUAAAGUUCUGUCCUAUCCCAGCAAGGGGCCCUAAAGAGGAAAUACCCUGAUAACACUCGAUCGAAACUAAGUAGUACGAGAAUGAGAUAAAGCAUAGUCAGACCAAUAGAAAGGAAAGUCACAUUAUAAGAAGGUGCGUUGCCUACAUAAUUCAAUAGGUAAGCGGAUAAUUCAGUAAGUAAGUGGAAGCCCUAGUUGUUAAUUCCAUUCUAUAAGAGGCCCGUUCCAAGGUUAAGAAGAGGUAUUGUUGGGCACUAGGUUGAUUCUUUCCAGUAGAGAUAUAUAAGCCUUGUAAGUAUAACAGCGAUAACCUUGUUAGCCCCGAGUGCAAUUAUCUCUUUUGAGUGGAAUUACUAGUUUUCUUUUUCACUCUUGUUGGUCUGAGUUCGAGCCUUGUUUUUACUUGUUCCAUUCUUUUACUGAUUGGCUCAAUUCCUUAUCUCACUUACUCAGUUGCUCGGCCCUUCCUAUAAGUUUGUGCCCCUUUUAGUCACAUUUAUCCUACCAGCAAACUGCCUAUCAUGCCUUUCGUUCUUUAAUUAAUACAUUGGGAUCCUUGUUUUGAUUCUGAUAGUACUUAGUUUGGUUCUUUUUCCUAAAGCGGAUUUUUGUUGCUAGUGUUAUUAUUGUGGCUAGGGCUAUUAGACCUAUCCCUAUUAGACCUAUUCCUAUUAGUAGAUUUACUACAUCGUACGUGCUUUGGUCUAGAACAAGUAGUAAAUGAGUACGGUUAAGCAGUUAAGUGGGACAAUGGAAUUCUAUCUCUCUUGCAUCGCAUAUAUAUAUGAUAGAGGAAUGUAACAAAUCAUCUACUUAUUAAGUGCUAAGAGUCAACAAAACCCUAGCGACCUACAUUCUUGACCAUUGAGAGGGGGCGUAGUUCUUUACCGCUACGUGGGCUACGUUGAACAGAGGUAUGCUAAAAUCAAGAUGAAGUGAAAGCCAACAAUGAGAAAGAUUAGUUGACAGCCCGCUAACUCCUGACUGCAUUGCUUCCUUCAAUAUAUUGGAGAGGUUAUUAGGUGGAGGUUUAUAGGUGAUUUAGGUAUAGGUUAUGUAGGCAGUUCUCUUUCAUGUAAGGUAAGCUCCAUUAUGAAACAUUCGCUUUCUUAUAGCUGUUGCUUCUUGCUUCUGGAACUAUACUACUCGUUGCUUUUGUUCUCUACCACAUGCUUGUUCUGUUACUUGUAUUGUCGGUAGAAUAUCGUCGUAGGCGCUCUGACUCUAAAGACUGGAAUUGGGAGCUGCUAGUGCACCCAUCUAUUAUAGAACAUAGGAGGAUGACAAAUACAAAGAAAAUAGUCAAAGAGUUUCUUUCGCCGUUGAGAUACCUUCAUCGAGCUAUCCUUGCUUUCGAUCUACCACUUGUGUUCUUGCGUCAGUGUUUGUAUCUGAGACGGAUAACUUGCCUGUUCUUGCAUCAUUACUAGUUCUUGAACCAAUGCUUGUAUCUGAGAAGGGUUGUUACUUACUAGUUCUUGCAUCAUUACUAGUUCUUGCACUAUUACUAGUUCUUGCACUAUUACUAGUUCUUGCACCGACAUCCCAAUAGACUAGAAUUUGUCUAGCAUAAUCAAAGGUCAUUUACCUAACAUAAUAAAAGGUAUAGAAUUCACCUAGCACAAUAUAGAACUGAAGAAACCGCAUUGCUUCCUAAAAAACUCUCUAGCAUUAGCACUUUUCAACAAGCCGUUAAUCCUGUUGCGCAAGAAGCAACUAAAGAAAUCAGUCCACCAGCACAGUCCAUUCUCGUCGACAACACUGGAACGGAACCUUGAAACUGCUUAUUCUGGGCUUAAACUUCAAGUAAAGCACCGAACAUGAAACUAGCACCGAACCUAGUCCACUUGAACAUCCGAACUAAACUACAGCCGAAAUCCUUACAUGCGGGCGCAUAGUUAACAAGGAAUUCCAGCAGUAUAGUGAAAUCAAAGAGAAAGAUGAAUUGAACUGAUGCUGACGCACAACUAACUAACGGAGCUACGACGCAGAGCUACUAUCUACCUACUUGCUUAUGAACUACAGUCAAUCACCUCUCUAUACCGACGUUAAGCCAAUAACAGAACUAUACGACCCGCGCUGAUGCAGGGUCUUUUUUGACUUACCUAUAGAAUAGUCACACUAGAUUCUAUUCAUGGUUUACUUCACACUGGCCUAUCAUUCUUGUUGAGUAUGGAGCGGGUUCGGGUUCCAAUCAAUAUUCUUUUCCUUAAGCAAGGGAACAAGCAAGGGAAAUAAUUCUUUCACUUUAUGGAAAGGUGCUAUAAUAGGUGACUUUAACGGGUGGGCGUGAGCUUCGUUUUCGUCAGCAUAAGAGGCAGCUGAAUCGAAUCCAAAUGAUUGAGCCCGAAAGAAGCACAGUUAUAGAAUCAAAUGAUUUAGCCGCAAUAGAAUAGGCAAAGUGGAGAAUCAUUUAUAUCCCUUCACCCGAUAUAGGCACAGUUAUAGAAUCAAAUGAUGGAGUUGCUAUAGGCACAGGUUGAGAAUCUUUCAUAUCCCUUCACCAUUCAUUGCAUCUUUCUAGCAUAUUCAAUAAGACACUAACUCCUAACUCAUAACUCACGUAAACACCAAAAACUGUAAGCUUAGCGAGCGACUUUAGCGUUAGUACUUAGAGUGGCUUGUUCAGUGCUUUACUCUAAGUCCAGCUGACUCUUUCAGAACUUAAGGUACAGUGCUAUGUGAAUCAAUUAUAUAUUAGUUGCGCCUUAAGCGUUAGAUUACUUUCCAGUAUUAGUGGCGACUAAAGCUAACGGUGACUUUCCUGGGUUCCUCAAUUCGUUCUUAAAGCUAGGAUAGAAAGUAUUGUUUUGAAACCACCAGUGUGAAGAAAUCCACUAAUAACCUUAUGGGGCAAGUAGUAUCAUUGGCGAAACAAAGAGAGCAGGCUGAAACUAAAAACUAGGCAUUGAGCACUGCCCAACAAGAACCAAACCCGGAACUAGUACUUGGACUAGCGCUGGCAAGGCUUUAACCCAACACUAAGGCUUUCAUUCGGAACUGGGGAUUGAACGAACCACUGAUGACAAAGCGCGCACUGCUGCUUUUAAGGCUUUCAUCAAGGUAGCAAACUACUCGUGGAAUUACUAUAAUCAAACUAACUACUAUUAUUUCUCAUAUGAAAACACACGUAUAAAUGUAAGUGAAAAGAAUAAUGAAUUGGAAUCUUAAUCGGGAGUAGCAGGACUAACUAACACAACUGAAAGGGAAUUCGAGGUACAACGUUGCUUGGUGAGGACGAGUUGAGCUCCUAUGCUUACUGCUUAUACCAAUGAGUUGAGCUCCUAUGCUUACUGCUCUUAGUCUAUUGCUGGGUAUAUUACUACAUGUGGUAGUCCCGUAUUACUAAUGCCCUUACCUUAGCCUUAUAGUUCACCAUCCAAGAAUGGAAGAAGCAAACGUCAGACUUGAAGUCGGGAAUACAAAUAAGGAAUAAUAAUAGUAUUUCCAGAAUACUGAUAUACUUUGACUUAUGUAUUGAGAAUAUCUACGUAGUGGUCCCUACCCUAGUAUGAGUCGCUAGCCUAGUAUGAGUCGCUAGUAGGGAUCGAUCCCUCAUUAAAUACUAACGAGUAAGGGUCGGGUGCUUUUUACCUUUCUUCUAUUUGCAAGUAUUCAUUAUCAUAUCCAAUAUUCUCAAGUAUUUUCUUAGGUGCUUUUCCCCUAGUGUUUUCCUCUAGUCUAUUGAUUGAAAAAGUACAAUUGUUUUUAUGUUUUCAAUAUGUUUGUUUGUUUUUCGAUUUCCAUAUGUCUGUACCGGUUCUUUUGUUUAGAUAAUGGGCUUUGAUGCAAGUUGCCCGAUGGAAUUGAGCUUCUGCUGUCCCUACUAGUUCUAAUUGCUUUCUUGACUUCCUACCUAUUAAUAAAGUGUUGACUUCCUACCUAUUAAUAAAGUGAGUAUAUGGUGCGUUAGCUUAUUAGAGUUUAGGGCGCGCCAGGCAAUAAGUGUGGUAGCAGCGUCUUUUCUUCACGUGGAAUCGGCACCUUAAUUCAAAAACUCUAGGUAAUUCAAUAACACCUGACUCAUGUUAUAAAACAAAGGACAACUUUCUUUCCAUGGUCGAAAUGUGUGAGCGGCAAUUGGCUCAGACAUAGGAGUGGAUUCCAAGUUUCCCUCGACCUGUUCACCACAGAAAGCAAGAUUACGGAAAGGCAGGCAGGCUUUUCAUAGAAGGUUUGAGUCGGAGUUGGGCCUGUGUUCAUGUCGUUUGUGAGUUAAGCGAGUGAAGAGGAGCAUCUUACUCUUAGGAAACUUCUUCUGAUCUCGUUGACUCAACUCAAACAGUCAAACAAUCAUUUCUUACUGAUAUGCAUAUAAAUGAAGUAAUCUGAUUCCUGCUGACUCUAAUGCUCUAUAAACGGACUCUGCUGGCUCUGACCUUACAAGCGUUACUGUUCCUUUCCACUUAACCGACGGAUCUUAUCUUCACGAUGAAACUAUGAUUCACGGCAAACUAAGCAUUCGUUCGGAGUUGACAAGGGAUAUGGCUCACUUUCUUAUAUUAUGUGAGUAUGGAUAUGGAUAGGCCGGCAGCACUCCCUUUUAGGUCAGAAGAGUUCCUUUGCAAGAAAACAACCUCUGAUACGACCAAACAUUUCUAAGGAUUCCUACAAAAUGAAAUGAAAUAAUAUCAUGUUAGAAUAUCUGACAGAAGCAGCACUCUUUCAGUUGGAUGCCCUCUUCUUCCUGGCAAGAUAAGAUCCAGAAUGGCCUUUGGUUUGGCUAGGAAAGUACAGCUAGUGCAACGAAGACUGCUAAAGCAGCAGCAAAGAGAGAGGACCGGGAGAGACAAGACACCUCUUAUGCCGGAAAAGGAAGAAAGUGAAGUAGAAAGUGCUAACGCUCCCAUUCCGAAUCCAAGAGAAACCUAAGAGAAUACCAUGCUACCAGCACCGAAUCUAAGGGAAAGCAUUUGAGCAAGAGGAAUGAAAGAAAAGUGGAAAUUUCCUAUUAGCUACCAGCACCGAAUCUAAGGGAAAGCAUUUGAACAAGAGACAGAAUCCAAAUAUUCAAUGCUAGCCGACCCAUCCUCCCAGAUCCGCAUCAGCGAGUGGUGUGACGACGACCAACUUGACAUUGAAAAUCACGAUUGGAAUGUCAUCUUACUCGGUAAAAGAUAGAAGAAGCGGAACGGAUUUCUCUUUUAUAUGAUAGGACUGCUUGCUGCCACUUCCUUAUGACAUUACCUUAUGACAUUACCUUUUAGACAAUCUCCGAUCUACGAAUACCUUGCUUGGGUCAGGAUCUUAUUAUUAGUGGAAAAACAUAGCCCUAGCUAGAUUCACUUAGUGGAAAAACAUAGCCCUAGCUAGAUUCACUUAGUGGAAAAACAUAGCUCUAGCUAGAUUAACUAAGCCGAAUCUCUCUUUUGACUUUCCUUAAAGGAAUUGAUAAGACAUAAGGAAGAGAUGAAACGAGUUAAGAAAGAAGAAGGGUAGAGAAAUGGGAUAACAUAGAGAGUAUGCCUCAUACUGACCUAAUCCGCUUCAAGCUUCGGUGGAGGCCCUCGCCCUCGCUUCGUAGACGUAGACAACAUUCCUUCCCGUGAAAAGAGUUUGUCUCUUUCCUCAGUUUGUUAUAUCUCUUUCCUCAGUUUGUUAUAUAUGAAUGCAUUUGAAACCCCCCCUCCACUUGAAUCUGUUUGGUUCUACAUAUGUUUGGUUCUACCAUGAUACUUUGGUUCCUUGGCAUAAGUCUGCUAUACUGUUACAAUAAAUUGUCACGGGUUCUGAGGCAUGAGUUAGAAUACCUAGACGCUGCAAUAACCUCCUAAACCAAACUGCUUCCUUGCUUUAACCUAAUCUGAAAACUGCUUCCUUGCUUUAACCUAAUCAAUAUCGGGCCGUGUACACAUCAUAGCAUACAUCAGGCUUCUUACAGCGCAGGAAUAGGUGACUCUUUCUUCUCUCUUACGAUCUUGACACCAAGCACAUAGCUAGCAUCACAGUUCUUUUUUUCUCUGGUGUUCUGUAUUUCUCUUUAGUUAUCUAUAAAUUAGUACUAUGAUAUGAUAUCUUUGCUCAAACUCCCUUUGCUUACUCUUUCUCUUCAGCUUCAAUUACAGAGCGCUUCCUGAGACAACGAGGGCGGGGAUCGGUAAGCCCCUUUUUUCUUUAUAGGAUCUCUCUUCAAUGCUUUCCUCUUUUAAAGACAAAUCUUCUAGUAGUGCUAAUUACGCUUUGCAAUUCUACAAAAGGAUUCCUAUUUGCAAUUCGAUAUUGGAAAUGGAAAUAACACAGCAACCACCUAUUUGGGGAUAUUUUAGACGGGAAUAAUGUUGGACUUUUGAGCGCCAGAGAUCCUCCUCCUCUAUAGCAUAAGUAAAAGCAGAAAAGGUAGCGGGCGAAAAGAUACGCGGCAAGGAAAGCUAAGGGAAAAGAAUAGUCAAUUCCUUUUCUUCCUUAAGCAUCUACUGAUCAAUAACGGAAUCUAAGUCACUAAGGGAUUCACUUUUGAAAAAGUCAGAUCGGAUUGAAGCCUACCGGUGGCUUACUCAUAUAAUAGAGAUCUUCAUUUACCAGGUCCUUGAAUCCAAAAGUCAAAGGGUGAAAGAAAGCAAAAGUAUUGAUAUUGACUUUCAAAGAAUAACCACUUCAUUUACUAAAUAUCAUAUCAGAGGGCUAGAAACGGAUUGAUACUGUCUUCUCUUUUCUCGUUUACAUAAAAGCUAGGGCCUUUCUUCAUUCAUGACCGAGUAAUAUGCUUUAAAUAGACUUCGCCGAAUCCCUUUUCAUUACAUACAACCUGACUUUGCUACUUCUGCUACCGUAGCCACAUACAACCUGACUUUGCUACUUCUGCUACCGUAGCCCUUGCUGAUUUACAGGAUUGGCCCCCUUCCGCUUCCCCCAUUGUAAACUCGCUUGCCCCGGCUCAAAGAACUCUCUUUAGGAAUGGACUUCGCUCACUUCAGCCCAAGCAGCCAUUCUGGAUUAAAGGACACAAGCCUGCUAUUCACUCGCUUUCCAGUUGAAAGCCUUAUUAUCUAGUCUUGCCGGUUACACCCUUUCUUGCCAUUUACCAUUCUCCGGGUAUUUCUUCUUUUAGGCUGACGGCUUGGUCAGAUUAGGAUGUUGCUUCUUUAUCCCCUCCGAUCAGGAUCUGCCAACGCCCGAAGUCACUUCACUCUAUAUCUCUGGAACCGAAAGAGGGUAAACCGUGAGCAAACUUUCGAGCUGGGAGAACUAAGGCAUUUCCUUACUAUUAAAGAACUAAGGUGCUGAAAGCCUACUAUUCAUCGUUAUCUCGAACCAAAGAAAGCGGAGUGAUCAUCGUUAUCUCGAACCAAAGAAAGCGGAGUGACAAGAACAUCAAACUGCUGACCAAGUAAAGUCACUUAUGGGCUACUGAUGCCAUCCCUCUGUCUAAUUGUAUUGGCCUCUCGGUGAUAGAUACUAUUCCUGGCUCUUAGCACCUUCCUUCCAUCCUCUUCUCCGACUUCAGCAGAAACAAACCUAAUUAUCUCAUGUCAACAGCGCAUUCGUUCACUCAAGCAUUUGUUAGCUCCAAGUCCAAGAGCCUAUCCGGUACCAGAAGUGUUGGGUUCAUUUGUAUUUCUCUUCUUUAGCUACAGUAGAAUAGCCUAAACAACUCCGUCGAACUACUUCGUUCCAAACAGAAUUCCGAAUUCUUAGACGGAUGAGACUGAUCACACCUCAUCGUUGAAAGAAGGCUUAGACCCUGAAUGGAAAAGGGCACAGUGUUAGAUGGAAAGGAAAGAGCCAGAAAUCAGAGACCCCUCGCUUCCUUCUAACGCCCAUUAUAGGAUAUAGGUCCAAAAAAGGAGUUCGAUGAUCUUUCCUAGAGCUUCCGCUGCUCUUAUUACUGCUUCCCUUCAGCACGGCGUUACAGAAAGCGCUGACUCAAUGGGCCUCAUGCCUGCCUAUAUGUCUUUAUUCCCCCUUAGAUUGGAUAAGGUCUAUAUUCCUGAACUCUCUUUCUAGAUUGGAUAAGGUCUAUAUUCCUGAACUCCCUUUCCAGAGGGUUUAGAUCCGGGAUUUCCUACUAAGGGCUUCCUUCCCGAGUUCGAUGCCUGCAGAGCCUAUGAACAAACACUCUAACUAAGACUAAAGAUGACACUUGGACAUGUGCUUGUGGAAAGGUCUAAGAAAAGGCUGGGUCAAUAGAGGCAAUAGAAACCAUACUUACUCAUCAUGUAAAUAAAGGGCAAAAGUGGACAAUUGACAAACGAGCGGAGCUAUUUACGGUCGAAACGCAUACGGGGAGGUGGGACUCGUUUAAAUGCAAGGACGCUGGGAGGAAACCCUCUUGGAUUCUCGGGCAAAAAAAACACAGAAUGGGGCUUAGUGAAAACGGGCUUCGAGAAGUCGUUCUUAGCAAGAAAAGAAUAGAGAGGGUCGCAGCUCUUAGCCAGGCUUCUAUUCCAUCGGUUUUACGUGGGUCAGAUUCCUACUAUUCAUUGAUUGAGUCCAAAAGAACGGGGUUGGAUGCGAGAUUGGGUGAUUUAGAAUGGAAGUUCAAUCAAAACAGGAUCCUUAUAGUUCAAUCAAAACGGGAUCCUUAUAUGGGCAAGUUGCUUAAAGGUUUCUAUUGUAUUGGUUUUGUUCUUUGUAUGGGAACUCCUAAUUGUUACUCCGGAAAGGACAGACGAAUCUUAAAGAAUGCGUACACGUGAAAAGGCUUACCUUAAGGCACACGUGAAAAAGGCUUACCCCUGAGGCCCUUCCGUUCUUUCUUUCUCCUCUGGUUUUGAGGUCUAGGUGGGUUGGUUUGGCGUAUGAGUCCGGUUCACUUCUUUUUGCUUGCUGGUGGAGAGCUUUCCCUUGUGAAAUCCAACUCAAACUAUACUCAAAGGAAAUCCAUUGACAAUACUUGAUAGGAUCUAGAAUAGUUGCUUCUCUUUCUAGCAAAGAAGGAUCCAGUCUCGCUAACCGCGUAUCCAAAUAAGCCUUCCUUUUGCAUUGACAGCAGUUAUCUAGUUUUCGCGGGUGCGCAAAAUGUCCUUUUGAGAAUUGAGAAUUGCAGGAAAAAGGGUCAACUAAGAAAAUCCAGAAUGGAUGCGAAAUAGGAAGACCACCAAGUCCAAUCCUAAUAGUUAUUUCUUACUCUCCUACAGCAUAAUAGACUUGCGAAUGGAUCCUAUUUGUUCGAGUGGAAAUCCUCUCCCCAUCCAUACUGAUCAAGGUGGGGAACCAAACCACUUAAAGGAAGUAUGUUCUUAGAUGGUGUUUGCAUGUCAAAGGAAUGGUAGUAGUGGGCUGGAUGUUCGGUAAGCGUGUGAGAUGAGACCCGAUCCUUCCACAAAGGACUCCCGUUUCAACAGUGCAUUUUUCCUUUGAUUCUCCGUCACCCGUUCUUCCCGACCACCGCCCGAUGCAGUCUAAACUCAGGUUAUCUCAAUAGACUUCCCAGCUAUUCUAUUCUAGAUAUCUUAUCUAAGAUGAAAACUGACUGUUUGUUUAUCCGAAAGUAUCUGAUGGUCAGGUCAUAGAAAGACAAAAACGUAUCGCCCACUUAAGAAAAUGAGGUCUGAACGGUAGGCUCCGCUGGAGAAACGACCAUAGCUGCACGGAGUUAGUUGACUGAUUUAGGUAUCAUGAUAGCUUGUUAGCGAUUACACUAUCCCCGGAAUAGCUUUCACUUCAUUGUUAAAGCUAUUGAACAUAGGUGGAGUUCAUACAGAAAAUGCUGUGUACUAUGAAAGAAAAACCACCAAUUCCUUUGAGGCUACUAACACUACCGAAGCAGGCUUGUUGGUUACUGGUUUUGGUAUUGAAAACAUAUAAAGGCUUUCAGCACCUUGCUUCUAGUUUCGCCGGUACCCUCGAGACAGCUUUCCCUAAAAGGACCGGAUUCAAGACAUUCGAUCUCAUACCCACUACAAUAAAUGAAAGUAUACUCGUAGCAAGGAACUCUUUCUUUAUUACUUUAGGUGGAAACUCUCUGAAGUUGGUUCUUUCUUCUCUUUAUUUAUAGUUUCAACUCAUUCCUGGUUGGUUCUUUCUUCUCUUUAUAGUUUCACUCAUUCCUGCCGCUCCGUUUAAGAAGUUUCGGCUCUAUGGCACUUGUUCUCCUUCUAUAGAUCGAGAUGCUUUUGUGGAUUGGAUGCUUUUCUUUUCCGUUGAAUAACAAAACAAAUGGUCGAUGUGGCUUUAUUAUCUUAGGUAGAAAGAAAGGGCUAUCUUUUGCCUAACUGUGAUAGGAGGCUCUGGAAAGACAACAAUACAAGCUGCUUUACUUAUCGGAUAGCUACUGACUUGCGUAUAGAGAAAUGGAACCGUAUUUAACUUAAUCCAAAGGUGGACUCAUACAUACUAUGGCUUUAUGAACUUAAUAAAUGAAUAUGUUACGAUUGAAGAAUACCGUAAUGGGAAGAAUACCUUAAUUGAGAAUAUAAUAGCGGCACCGAGAAACUGUGACUUGAACUGCAAAAAGGAAAAGACCCCAAUCUUCGAGAAAGCGAAACUCAAAUGACAUCCAACCCUAGAAAAAGCCGAGUAACCGCUUACCACCUAUACCUUGAAGCCUGCUACUGAGAAAGUGGCUGUCCUAAGGGUUAAUUAGCUCCUACCGCUCGAACACCAAACUAAGGACUCGGUUAUAGUUGCAGUGCCUACUUUUAGGAAUACAGUGCCCUUAAGUAAUUGAACCCGCCUUGUCAUUAUUCCAUAAUGCCUUCCUUCUUCUUUAGACGUGUGAAAGAAAGCGCCUUUUUGAACUCCGAACCGUGAUACCGAAAAAUCCACUCAUUCGGACAAUGUCCCAAGACAUCUUCGAUCUAUCGAGCUACUAGUCGAUCAACGAUAACAACACUUUCCCACUUGUUUGUUCUGGUGGCAUAUUACAUUGCUUUCUAUUUCCCAGAAAUCUAUUACUUCGUUGUUCGGUGGUCAUUCUUGUCGAGUUUGUCCAGUUGUACGUAAGGAUCUUAUUUGAGCCCAUACUUGUUUCGUUACCCGGAGUCUUGCUUUCACCCUUCGAAGAUUCGAUUUGGCCAUUUCUCAAUUGACCGAGUUGCUGCUACUACUUUUACUAUGACCGUUUGGAUUGUUGCUUUCUUGGUGUUUUACGGAAAUAAUUGUUAUAAUAUAAGGAGUUAUUGAAGUGAGUUAGUUUGGAGAAGAACGGUUUCAUUGUGUUCGUGAAGAUAAGAUAGUAGAGAUCACUAGACCUAGAGCAAGAAUGGGAUGUUACGCCAAUGAGCCGAGCCCUCUAGGAGUAGGACGCCCUUUGCUGGUGCCCGGGUCCCCUAUAGUCUCAGGAGAGAUUAUACAAAGGCCACUAACCCAGGUCCCCUAUAGUCUCAGGAGAGAUGAGAAAAGGCAAACUCGCAAGUCACCUUGUCUCGUAUCCAUCAGAAAACCGGGUUCCCUGUAAGCAAAGAACAAAGGUAGAUGAUAAGUUUACUUGAAAGAACAAAGGUAGAUGAUAAGUUUACUUGAAAAGCCAUAGAGUAAGUAAGGUGACUUUCCAAUUGACUUGAAAAGCCAUAGAGUAAGUAAGGUGACUUUCCAAGAAUAUGUCUCCUUGACUUGCUCAUAACUGUUACUAUUAACUCUGACUAUAUAGUUAGUUGAGCUCCCUUAAACAUAGGACUAUUUCCAGUUUCUCUCUGUGUUUGUUGGUGACAAGAGAGAAAGAUCAUCGGCAAAAGAACGAUCUGAAGCUGUUACUAGUCAAUUCCAUUCUUCACUUUCAGAGGUCAAUUCCAUUCUUCACUUUCCGCUCUUGACGUCGAGUUCGGGGAAGCAUAUUCCUAUUUAGAAGGAACAGGAACAGACAGAAAUAUAAGUCCGCGAGGGUAUAUAUAACAACCUAGUAAUCCAUAAGAGAGGUCCGGUGGGCAAUAGAAGUAGUAGAAUAAGGAGCAGGUAGGCAGAAGAUACGGCAUCAGGUGAGCGAGCUAUAUCCUGAGUGGGUAAAGAAUAAGUAUUUGGAGCCCCCUUUCUUGCAAUUGAGUCCGGGUCGGAAAGCUUCAAGUAAGGGCAGAGGAAAGGCUAGGCUGCCUAGCAGAGUUAUUAAGGUAAGGAGUCAGCAAUAAAAGGAGUCAGCAAUAAGUGAGUAAGUAGUUGAUUGACUAUUCUCUAUUAGUGGUAGAUAACUCUCUUCACAAUCAGCUAGCUAUAUAGAAGGAGUUAUAGGUCAAACAAAUAAUUCAUGGAAUCUUUCUUGCGCUACUCAUGAAUGGAAAUUGGAAACUCCAACUCGUUACACCUAUUCCUCUAAUGUGAAAGACUGAUAUUGUAGGGCGAUGAGAGAGGUUCUGAUUGUGUUGUGGUCGGUGCUUGUCUACGAGAAUUGCCUUAUUGACAGCUUUUGACUGGAAAACGAAGUUAUUGAAUUGAACGGAGUGCACCUAGGAAGAGCGCUACCAUAAAGGAUUCCAGUAUCAAAUCAUUUAAAGAACAGAUGGGGGCCCGUGCGUGUCAUUUGCCCCAUAAGAUUUGUUGACGAGAGUUAGCAAAAGUAGUAUACUAUUUCUUGGCUUUGCCCUUAACCGAGCGCAUUUAUUGAGUUGGGGGGGCUAGUUCCAGUCUUAACCUGGAAUUUCAUCCACUUUCUAGCGCUGAAGCAUAAGAGGGAUUCGAAGAUGGAUCUGAUUCAAAAGAUAGGGAAGCUAUGUCUCCACUUCUUUAUAUGCUAUGAUAGAAGGAAUAGGGUCCAACUUCGUGCUUUUAGAUGAAAGUCAGAGAAAAGUGUCCCGCCCCCCGAGUGCUCUAAACGCCAAAUACUGAAUGGAACUUGCAAAUACAAGAUAAAGGAAUGGAAGAAGAAAUACGAUACGGAACAACAAACUCUUACAGUAGCGCCGAGAAAGCCAUAUCCGGAGUUGGAGAAUAAUAGGGAAAAGAGACUAUUUCCAGAGGAGAAGAUACUAUAUCAGGUGAGUUGGUAAAGAAUAUAUAUAGAGUUGGCGUAGGAACAAGAACUCGAUAAGAAUCAUACUUAGUUGUCAAGAAAUGCAGCAGUAUUAGAAGCUGGUAAAGAGGAGGCAAAAGUGAGCUUAGAAGUAGCGAACAGGAACUAAACUCUACUACUUUGAGCGGGCCGGGCCGGGCAUUGACUUAUCGCUUGCUGCUGAGGAAACUAAUACGGAUUUGCUUUUCUCUCUCCAUAACUACACUUUUCUCGCACAGCUAAAGCUUAUUAUACCGCUGAUGAUACUUAUUCAUAAGAUCUGGAUCCUGCAGAAUCGACAACAACACUUGUUUCUGGUGCCGAGUCUCUUGAAACCGGUGUUUGAGGGUUUGUCUUGUUAGUUCAGAAUCAUAAAUACGAGUAGGGGUUUCAUCCCGUAGUUAAUCCGUAUAAUAUCUGUGCUUGUUGGCUCAAGUGCCCUGCAAUACGAGUAUAAUCUCUGUGCUUGUUGGCUCAAGUGCCCUGCAAUACGAGGUAAGGUCGGCAGUAGUAAAAGAAUGGUUUGCUCGAUGAACAAAAAGGGCGGCUCCCGGGUUGGUUUUUCCCAUCAACUAAAGAGCAAGGCUAUCAGGCCUAUUACGAAAAUGUCUUUCUCAAGAGCAAGAGCUAACACAACUCUUUUCUUUUUUUGUACUUCCCACGGUAAAGCGAAACGAUUACCCGAGACACUACACUAGCUCUUAAAAUGUUUUAGUCGUUUAUGAUCGAAGCGGAUUCUCUCUUCUGGAACCAUACAAUCUGGCUUGACUUGGAUAGCGUCAUGAACCGAGCAAAGGAUAUAGCAAAGGAAACACUUGCAUCUGGCUGAGGACUAAAUAUAGGAGCUCGCCUUGCAUACAAGGGGAAAAGAUGGAAUCUGGUAAAAAGAAAGUUCCGUGCCUAUAGUCAUUCCUUUAUCCAGUUCCGUGCCUAUAGUCAUUCCUUUCUAUGGUAGCAAUCUGGUCUCCAGUCGGUGGAGGAAGUAAGGCUUAGCAGUCCUAUCAGUGCCCUUAUGCACAGAAACAGUUGGAGUCAAGGCAGUCUGUGGUUUCUAAGGCCUAUAGGCCGGUCCUGUCAUUUCGUAUAGAUUUAUAGAAAGGGAGCGCCUUUAAGGCUUUCAGCACCUUCUCUCCUCCCCAACGCCGCUAUCUGUCAUCAAUUCCUUCUCUCCUCCCCAACGCCACUAUCUGUCCAAGGGGAAAAGCAAACUCAAGGGUACCAACGCAAGCUUCCGUUUUCAAGUUAGUUAUGAAUCCGAUGUGAGAUGCCUCGCCUAGCUUGAUUAAUAGCCGCCCGGGCCCAUGUUCUCAGUGCAAUGCAACGUGUGAAAUGACUUAGUCAAGAGAUCGUAGGAUACCGGCAAAGGCAGAAGGUGGAUACUCGUUGUUUUGAUUUCGCAGGUGGAUACUCGUUGUUUUGAUUUCGCAAUUCUAUUAUAUCAUAAGGGGUUGAAACACGAAAAUGAAGGUGCGAAGUUUCGAACAUGGUUGUUAUAAAGUUCCCUAUCUCUGCUAUUAUAGAAUAAGAAAGGAAAGAUAAAGAUAAUAAGAAAGGAAAGAGAAAGGCAGCACAUAUGAAUCUGACUCAAGUGGUCAUCGAGAAGAAGUCGAUUCGCUGAAGCAUAAACAGAGAAGGUAGUUUAGUUAACCCGGGCCAGGCCAGCCCUUAGCAUCUAAAGAAUGCGCUCUUCUCAAGCUUUUCAAAAAGGGGUGUGUGUUGGUUUGGGCAAUGGAAGGCACGAAUCAAACUAUCUAUCUUUAGCAUACGGGAAUCGAGCAGACAUGAUCAAUAAUGAUUCAGAGGACAAGGGCAGCUUGUUCUACCUUCGGGAUAAACGCUCUUUUCAUGGGUUUUUUCUUUGACAGUCUUACUGGAUUUUUAGUUGAUGGGGCAAGGCUUAGCAAAUAAAUAAGCUUGUGUCGGAAGAGAAGUAAGUAGAAAACAAAGCUGUUCGCGGAACCUGAUUGCCCUAAGUCGGAGUCAGAAUAAGGUUUAGGCUGGAAGACAAGCAACAGAUAUCUCGGAUGUUGCCAUUGCCAGGAGCAUGGAUGCCAAGAAUGCCCUCAGUCUAUGUCUUUCUAUAUAGGCUUUAAGGAAGCAAGUAAGCAUUAAAGAGGGGCUUUGUUGGACCUUCCGACCGACUGAAGGAUCUUUUCCGUCUUUCGAGAUGCGAAUAGAUUGACUAUUGGGAUAACGAAGAUAUGACCAUAUUAAAGAUCUCAUUUAUUCAUUUCAUAGAGAAAAGGAUUAGCUGCUUUCUGAAAAUGAUAGAGAGAGAACAGCGCUACCGCCAUGAAUACUUGACUCGCUCAUAACAGAAUUAGAACAUAUUAUUUGGAGUCUUGCAUUUGUAGGAGUUGCUUGGCCCUUUGUAGUAGUUGCUUGGUGGCUUUCAGCACCUUUAUUUUCAUGGAGCUCUUUAGAUAGGUAGAGGAAAGACGUAACUAGACGACCGCGCAGAAAGAGACGUAACUAGACGACCGCGCAGAAAGAAGAAUCUCUUUUAUAGCUUCCGAUUGCUAUGGAGAUUCCUAUGGUUUCUCUAGUUUCUCAGACUAUUAUGGAUAUUCCCCCAGAUGCGAGUUACAGCCUUGUAACCAAGGGUCCCUUACUUCACUUCAUGGAUCUUUAAGAAGUUCAAGAAGAAAGCUACGGGCAUAUACCCCAGCCGCGGGGGAACAAGUGCCACCUAAACAGCUAGAUUAUCUAUCUAUAAGCCUCGCAAACCCUUCCUUUGUAAAGGACCUUUCCCGCUUUCCUUACUUUCCUUCCUUGGCUAGUUCAAAAAACGCUUUUUCCAUUGUUCUGAUAAUAAGAUUAAUCAGAAUUGUCGCUUGGAAUAAUAGGCUUUGAAACAGAAAGGAGGUAGAGAAGCUCUGAGAUGGAAAGGAGGGAAGCUCUAAGUUAGGUAGUUAGGAGCGAAGGUAGUACGAGGCAGAGCCAAGACUCAUCUCAUGUGGAAUCAUCAAUACUUAAAGGAUAGAGUCAAACUCUUGGCAGGUCGGGGGGCAAGCUUGACUUUCACUUCGGGAAUAAUCAAUCUAGCUUUUUGAAUGGGGCGAGCGGUUCUCGGGCGAAUUCCUUCUAUUGGUCUUAUACUAUGGGUGGAUACAGACUCAGAGUGAGGACCCGUGCCAGCAACUCCUGUAAGCGCAAAUCAUUUAGGAGAAGUCAAAGCAUAACCCUGACAAGACAAGUGGUUAGGGCUUUCUUCAACUUACAGAGCGGAUCUAUACUCUUUACCUCGAAACUAGGAAUUUCACUUACUGAAACCAAAAGUGUUUUUUUCUCAAUGGAUAAUAUGGAUCUCGCACCAGCAAUAGAAUAAUUGAAGUACCCCGCUGCGCUGCCCCCUACUGAGGAUACAGCUACAUCACUUGGCUGCGCUGCCCCCUACUGAGGAUACAGCUACAUCACUUGCAACUUCAAUAAGUCCAGUGGAGAAUGUGCUUUCUUGUCUUCUCUCUUAGGGCGCAAUUCCAGAAGGAUAGACAGACCGACCGACCAUCUUCAAACCGACCAUCUUCAAUUUGAUCUAGAAUAAUAAAGAUCUGCAUAAUCAGGAUCAGAAAAAGAGGUCUUAUAGCUUCGAAAGAACACCGACUGCUGUAUAAACAAGGGAAUAAUACGCAAGGAGAGAAAGAUGUAAUGUUGCAAUGCGAGUUGACUCUAAACCAGAAAAAAGGGGAGUUCUGGGCUUGACGUCUACAGGUUAGAGUGUCGGUGCGAGUUGAGUACUUAAUUGAGGCGCUAAUGGAGUUUCCGCUUGAUCACAUUCCUUUUCUUUAUAGGCGAUAGGCGUGUGAGGGUGAUUCAAUUCGUAUGUUCGCUGUCGCGGCAGGAGCUACUGUUACGUGUUCUUUAAAUUCCAGUUUUCGUUCCUUUGUUCGUCCUCCCGUUCUCUCAUAUUAUUUAGUAGGUCCCUUGGUCAACAAUGCUAGACAAGCAGCAUAUAGGUUAUUUAUUCAUUGCAGCAUAUAGGUUAUUUUAUUCAUUGUUCAUUAUGAAACAAACUUUCUUGUUAAUUAUGGGGCGGUCUUUUACCUUACCAGAUUCAUUUGAGCGCCCAUAGCUAUUCAAUUUGGCCUCUUUCCUUUAUUCAGAUCUCUCCCUCCUAAUGUAACUAUCAAGAAUUUGUGUGGAUAGCUCGCAUAAAGAAAAAGGGGAAGGACACUGCUCUUACAGAAAAAGGGGAAGGACACUGCUCAUAAAGAAAGGGAAGGUACUGGCACUCAUAAAGAAAGGGAAGGUACUGGCACAGCUCUUAAAUAACUAACCGCUUUUAUAUAACUUACAGCUCUUAUCUCACUUAAAGCUCUUACAUAACUUACAGCUCUUCCAAAUUCUUCUUUGUGUAAAGGGUCAUAAAAAGAGUCUAGCCCACCCACCCCAGCAGUCAAGUACUAGUGCUAUCAAUUCCUACAGCUCAGGGUCAAUUGUGUAUCGAACCUGCAUACAGAUGUUUAUCAUAACAGCGUUAAGGAAAGAUGCGGGCUUAUUCUCUAUUCUAUGCUCUCCUCUCUUUUUCCAAUAAAGAAGGAGGGGACCCCUUUUCAAAGCCAUUUCUCAUGAAUGGUGGGUAUGAUUCUAUAACCGGUUUUUCCUUUCAUUCAAGGCUCGACAACGAUUGGAAUAGUGUUUCUUCUUUAUUGAUCUGUCUGAUGGAGACCAUUUAGAAUCCUAUUAGUAAACAGGAGCAUAUCCAACCUUUUGAAGCGGCGGGUCCUUCUUGAUUUGAUUUAUACUUGUGUUAUUUAUACUUGAUUGGAUUGAUAUUUGCUAGCUCUUGAGCUUUCCUAACCCCAUCUAUCUUUCUUCUUCUCUGGAUAAGGUUUAGUGUAAGGCCCCUUUUGACAUUCAAGAUAUACUGACGCAAACCUCUCGGGAUUUUAUGCAUAUCCUGAUUACCCUCCCACAACCGAAAAGGUAGAAAACCAUGUCUACUUUGCCUUUAUAGCAAUUCCUUUCUAGCUAUGCCUUUCUGGGGUUAUUGUCCAAGCGACUCUAUAUUUGAUAUGUUUUGGCCGCUCCAAGAUCAAAGGAAUUAGCAUGUUCUGGACUGCUUACUUCCAGAGAUUACACGAGUGUGUUCUCGCUUCUUCGAUAGCGCCCCCAUUCGAAGUAUUUCCACGAUCUUUUGUAGUCUUCAAUCCUUAUUUGUUGGUGUUUAGGAAGGGUUAAUGGCUUAUUAAUCUAUGAAGUCUAUAGGGUUAAUGGCUUAUUAAUCUAUGAAGUCUAUAUUCUCCCGAUCAUAGGUGAUAGAGACCCAUAAGAUAGGCAAAUGAUAGAAACCUAUAAGAUAUAAGGAAGAAAGAACGUAAAAGAUAUGACUUUAGAAAGCUCUGGAGGCAGAUUCUAUUGGCCUUUCAUUAAGCCUCCUUUAAUUAAGCGCUUUCCUACUCUUAUUUGUAUUUGAUAUUAGGCCACUUCCUGCAUAUUGAUUAUUCUAGGAUGAACGAACUCCUUACAUUCGAGUAUUUACCUCCUAUUGCAAUUGCUCUUGAAAACCUCUGCCUUGAGUCCUCGAAUACCUGCACCUAUUAUCAUGUACCGGUCGUUAAACCACACUGUAGAUAAUGCUUUUGCCAUAAAGAAAUCUCUAUUAAUAUUAGCAUCACUCGAAACUCACUAACGGAAGAAACAAGCAAACAACGAACUCCUAUCCGACACAAGAGCACAUGAUAGGCAAUAGGGACCGGGCACCCACACCUAUUAUACCUCCUCAGGCGAGGCACCCACAGUCGACCCCGUAACUACAAACAUGAUAAACAAUAGGCACCCCUGCCCCAGUUUGGAGCACAUUUGUAGCACACUGGCUUUGGCAUGAAAGUGUAUGUAUUCGUUGUGAUGCGGCUCCUCGACACUAUGCAAGCUACGGCAACUUUCAAGCUUUGUUUGCUCAGAGAAUUAAUACCUGAGUGACUUGGCCGUUGUUUCACCUCUUUUAAACGGAGCCCGCAAUGUAGCAGUAAAGAAUUGGAACUCUAUGACAACACUCGCACCCUCAGAUAUGAGUAAUCAGUACCAAGCAACACCCUAUACUUUCGAUCCCUUGUUUCGUUCCCUUGUUUGUUCUCCUUACUUUUAGAGUUGAUAUCCGCACAGCUGCGUUAAUUUGCUUGUUUGCUUGCUUCCCUUGCCUGUUAAGCUACCCACCCGGGGUAAGAGAGUAGUUGAUGCUUUUGUUGAAUAAAGAGAAUCUUGAUAGACUAAUAUAGAAUAGAGUACUUGCAUUAUAGACUAAUAUAGAAUAGAGUAAAGGCAUUGAAGCGUGGUGUGGGUUUACUUUCAAUGGGGAGAGGUUCUAUGAUAGGCUUUCCCUUGACUUUAUGAGUAGUGGUCCAAAGAAUGGCGCUCGCCUUAGGAGUUGAGUUAGAAGCAUUAUAUAGCUCGGCAAGAAAGAUUGAAUGAUUUGUUGAGUUCUGGUUUUCGGCUAACGUGCGUGUGGGUUAUUUGGAGUUUCAAACAAGGAAGGUCUAUAUGAACUCAAUUAAGUACUUAGCGCACCCAUAAUCUACCUCAAUCCUCUGAAAGUCAACUACUGAAGUCUUGUAUAAAGGUUCAAGCUAAAAGUCCGGGUAUCCUGAAUCAGCUGUUUCUGUUUUCACAUCAGAAUACGUUUUUUAAAGAAGCAACGUUAAGGGUAGGAAUAUUCAGGUAAUUAGAUAAGGGAAGGUAUCAUAUAAAUAUGGAUCUAAAGAAUAAGCAAGAUCGUCGGCAUAAGCAAGAUCAGAGGAUCAUCAGAAAGAGCAGAAGCUGAAUCAAAAGAGAAAUCAUAAGCCAAAGAAUCCGCUGUGGUGUCAAAGCGGUCAGCUGCCAGUGAAUAAGUCAAAGCCAGUGGUAAGCGGGACCAGACGGAAAGUUGUUGAAUUCGUCUUUGUUAUCCACGAGAGAGGCAAUCAACCAACAUAGAGUUUUCAAGAGAACGAGCAAGCAAGGCCAAAUAGUAAUAAAACAACCCCUUUUUGCGUCGUUUAACCAUAUGCCGCCGUUCAACGGAGCUCAUAUGAUAUGGCUAAUCUCACUUAUGGAAAAACUCCCCACUACGCUCCUAACGCGCACUACACUACGUUGCUUGUUCUGUCCUUUUCAUGCAUUUUUCCAUAGAGAUUAAUUAAGAUAGACCUCUUCCUAGAUAUUAAGAUGGACCUCCAUCUUCCUAGGUGCCAAUCAAUUGAAUUCUACUAUGGGGGUGCUAACGCGAGUUGUUGUUGCAGGAUGUUUUGUUACUAUCUUCGAGUUGUUGUUGCAGGAUGUUUUGUUACUCUCUUAUAAAAUAUGUCAGUUAUUAGCUUUUCUUCAGUUGAGCAUGAUAGGUGCACUCAAUUCCAUGAUUUUCUUCAGUGUUGUGAGUUUGUAGAGUAAUGGAGUCUUAAGUUAGGUUAAUCCCUUACAUGAGUUGUGCACUCACAUUCAAGAAGCCCUGAAACAUACAAAUGUAAGCUAAGGUUCCCCGAUAAGUCAUUUCUGUUUUAAAGCAAAGUGAUUAUAUUCAUUUAUUAUAGAGAUUAUCUUAUAUUCAUUUAUUAUAGAGAUUAUGAGUUAGAUUCUUGGAAAUGGAAUUCCACAAAACAAGUCAGAAGUGAGUUUCCGGGGAACAAGUAAGAACAAGAGAAGAACUGACAUCGGCCCACCCGAAGAAGAGUUAGGUAGUGAGUAAGCUGUUAGGUACCACAAACAAGGCAACAUAGAAUAGAGGAAGUAGUGAGUAAGCAGAACAAGCAACAAAGUCAGGGCAGUGAACUAGAAGCGCGAGGCCAGAAAAGAGUACGACACAGUAACGAGUUAGUCAGGAUGCCAAUAAAUCCGAUUUGCUUAAAGCAACGGAAAAAGAAGUAAGCUGUUUUGUGAAAACUCAGAAUUCAGUAAGCAGUGUUGUUACAACUAUGACAUUAUAGGGGGAGAAUAAGCAACGGAGCAAGCAGUAAGUAAUGUUCAAGCUUAGAGCCAGCAGUACAGUAAUAGGUGAGCUUUUUAGUUUCGUUAGUUUCUCAGAGGAACCAAACUACUAAUAAUGCACAAGUAGGGAUAGCAGUGCCUCUCUCUGCCUAUGUCCUUUACAGUGCCUCUUACCUAUGUCCUUUACUUUGUAUGGGGUUCGGCUGCCUCAAGUAGAUUCAAUUAGGCUUCAAUUCCCCGGGGCUCCUUAGCUUUGAACUCGCUGACGCUAGAACUCAGGCUCCCGAAAGCUGGAAUUGUCAUAACUCUGCGCUACUAACUACUAAGCUUGGCGGUUAUAACAAGAGGAACUCUAGCAGCCCUGCCGCUACACUGACUACGUUACUUGGCGGACUUGGUCAUAACUCUAGGAUACAGGACUUUCUAAUUCUCCGGAUCUGAAAUCCACUGCUGGCUCAACAAAACUUCAUUGAAUCUUGUUUGCGCAGAGAGAAUAGGGGAGGAAUAAUACCCGAAUCUAUACCUUAUCCCUUUUCUAUACCCUUAGAGUCACAUACUUUCCCUUAGAGUCACUGACUUUUGUACCGAUCCUGCUCUAGCUGAUCCAGAUGUAUCUUCUGCUAUUGUUUAGUUGACUUUACGG
This 28143-nucleotide long non-coding RNA is filed under the name Musa acuminata (dwarf banana). RNAcentral's name for it is "long non-coding RNA (MACU_LNC007426)". Lineage: Eukaryota; Viridiplantae; Streptophyta; Magnoliopsida; Zingiberales; Musaceae. The record is from RNAcentral.